GCUCGUGGAUCGAUGAAGACCGCAGCUAAAUGCGCGUCAGAAUGUGAACUGCAGGACACAUGAACACCGACAAGUUGAACGCAUAUUGCACAUCGUACAACAGUACGAUGUACACAUUUUUGAGUGCCUAUAUUUAUCUAUUCAACUAUACGUGCGUGCGCGUCCCACUCCGGGUGGACAGGCGCACGCGGCAACGUAUGCGUAGUGAUGUUUUCCCGACCUUCGGUGGCGGUAAAACAUUGAAGAUAGUCAGGCGCGUUCCUCUCCGGUGGAACGUGGUUGAUGAAUACAUCCCAUGGCACCCACCCCCCAGUGGUCCAGUGUUGUAUUCCAUCUCUCUCUCGAACGCAAACGUGUGUCUCCAUGAACCCCCCACACACAGAUCAGUAGGCCUCAGAUAAUGUGUGACUACCCCCUAAAUUUAAGCA
Molecule: ribosomal RNA, 428 nt
Filed under: Ochlerotatus theobaldi
Lineage: Eukaryota; Metazoa; Arthropoda; Insecta; Diptera; Culicidae
Description: eukaryotic LSU rRNA
Rfam family: 5.8S ribosomal RNA (bases 1-129)
Source: RNAcentral